AUUGAACGCUGGCGGCAUGCUUUACACAUGCAAGUCGAACGGCAGCACGGGUGCUUGCACCUGGUGGCGAGUGGCGGACGGGUGAGUAAUACAUCGGAACGUGUCCAGAAGAGGGGGGAUAACGCAUCGAAAGAUGUGCUAAUACCGCAUAUGCUCUGAGGAGGAAAGUGGGGGAUCGAAAGACCUUACGCUUUUGGAGCGGCCGAUGUCUGAUUAGCUAGUUGGUGGGGUAAGGGCCUACCAAGGCGACGAUCAGUAGCGGGUCUGAGAGGAUGAUCCGCCACACUGGGACUGAGACACGGCCCAGACUCCUACGGGAGGCAGCAGUGGGGAAUUUUGGACAAUGGGCGCAAGCCUGAUCCAGCAAUGCCGCGUGAGUGAAGAAGGCC
RNAcentral lists this ribosomal RNA (389 nucleotides) under uncultured bacterium. RNAcentral describes it as "bacterial SSU rRNA". It matches the Rfam family "Bacterial small subunit ribosomal RNA", at positions 30 to 416 of the family's 1533-position model. The record is from RNAcentral.